AUGCAGUCGAGCGGACGACAGGAGCUUGCUCCUUGAUUUAGCGGCGGACGGGUGAGUAAUGCCUCCUGUCUGCCUGUCAGGGGGGGAUAACAUUCCACCAGGAACGCUGAUCCCGCACACGAUCUACCGGAGAAUGCUCGGGACCUUCUGGCCUUGCGCUAUCAGAUUAGCCUAUGUCGGAUUAGCUACUUGGUGAGGUAAUGGCUCUCCAGAGCUACCAUCCGUAACUGACUCUGACACGAUGAUCACUCACUCUGGAACUGACACACUGUCCCUACUCCUACGGGAGGCAUCCCGGGGAAUAUUGGACAAUGGGCGAAAGCCUGAUCCAGCCAUGCCGCGUGUGUUAACAAGGUCUUCUGAUUGUAGAGCUCUUUAAGUUGGGACGAAGGGCAUUGGACUAAUACGUUAGUGUUUUGAAGUUACCGACAGAAUAAGCACCGGCUAACUUCGUGCCAGCAGCCGCAGUAA
This 471-nucleotide ribosomal RNA is filed under the name uncultured Pseudomonas sp. Its description in RNAcentral is "bacterial SSU rRNA". It matches the Rfam family "Bacterial small subunit ribosomal RNA", at positions 55 to 523 of the family's 1533-position model. Lineage: Bacteria; Pseudomonadati; Pseudomonadota; Gammaproteobacteria; Pseudomonadales; Pseudomonadaceae. The record is from RNAcentral.